GACGAACCGUGCAAACGUUAUUCGGAAUCACUGGGCUUAAAGGGCGCGUAGGCGGGCCGCCCGGUCCGGGGUGAAAGCCUCCAGCUUAACUGGAGAAGUGCCUUGGAUACAGGCGGCCUCGAGGGAGGCAGGGGCGUGCGGAACUUCGGGUGGAGCGGUGAAAUGCGUAGAUAUCCGAAGGAACACCGGUGGCGAAAGCGGCGCGCUGGACCUCUUCUGACGCUGAGGCGCGAAAGCCAGGGGAGCAAACGGG
This 253-nucleotide ribosomal RNA is filed under the name uncultured bacterium. RNAcentral describes it as "partial 16S ribosomal RNA". It matches the Rfam family "Bacterial small subunit ribosomal RNA", at positions 524 to 776 of the family's 1533-position model. The record is from RNAcentral.